Molecule: ribosomal RNA, 506 nt
Filed under: uncultured bacterium
Lineage: Bacteria
Description: bacterial SSU rRNA
Rfam family: Bacterial small subunit ribosomal RNA
Source: RNAcentral
AGAGUUUGAUCCUGGCUCAGGACGAACGCUGGCGGCGUGCUUAACACAUGCAAGUCACGGGGGCUCGCAAGGGCAGCCGGCGAACGGGUGCGUAACACGUGAGCAACCUGCCGAUCUGAGGGGGAUAGCCGGCCCAACGGCCGGGUAAUACCGCAUACGUUCUCGAGGGGGAGUCCUCUUGAGAAGAAACCUCCGGGGCAGAUCGAGGGGCUCGCGGCCUAUCAGCUAGUUGGCGGUGUAAUGGACCACCAAGGCUAUGACGGGUAGCUGGUCUGAGAGGAUGGCCAGCCACAUUGGGACUGAGAGACGGCCCAGACUCCUACGGGAGGCAGCAGUGGGGAAUCUUGCGCAAUGGCCGAAAGGCUGACGCAGCGACGCCGCGUGUGGGAUGAAGCAUUUCGGUGUGUAAACCACUGUUGCCCGGGACGAACAUCCUCUUUCGAGAGGACUGACGGUACCGGGUGAGGAAGCACCGGCUAACUCCGUGCCAGCAGCCGCGGUAAUUC